ACACGUAGGGGGCGAGCGUUGUUCGGAAUCAUUGGGCAUAAAGGGCGCGCAGGCGGCCAUGUAAGUCUGGUGUAAAAUGGUUGUGCUCAACACAAUCAUGCGCUGGAAACUGUAUGGCUAGAGUCAACGAGGGGAUGCCGGAAUUCCAGGUGUAGGGGUGAAAUCUGUAGAUAUCUGGAAGAACACCGAUGGCGAAGGCAGGCAUCUGGCGACUGACUGACGCUGAGGCGCGAAGGUGCGGGGAGCAAACAGGUUUAGAUACCCUGGUAGUCCGCACAGUAAACGAUGUGCACCAGGUGGCGGGCAGCAGUGCUCGGUACCGAAGCAAACGCAUUAAGUGCACCGCCUGGGGAGUAUGCCCGCAAGGGUGAAACUCAAAUGAAUUGACGGGG
Molecule: ribosomal RNA, 392 nt
Filed under: uncultured bacterium
Lineage: Bacteria
Description: partial 16S ribosomal RNA
Rfam family: Bacterial small subunit ribosomal RNA
Source: RNAcentral